This 253-nucleotide ribosomal RNA is filed under the name uncultured bacterium. RNAcentral describes it as "partial 16S ribosomal RNA". It matches the Rfam family "Bacterial small subunit ribosomal RNA", at positions 524 to 776 of the family's 1533-position model. The record is from RNAcentral.
UACAGAGGUCUCAAGCGUUGUUCGGAUUCAUUGGGCGUAAAGGGUGCGUAGGCGGCGCGGUAAGUCGGGUGUGAAAUCCCGGGGCUCAACCUCGGAAUUGCAUUCAAUACUGCUUCGCUCGAGUACUGGAGAGGAGGCUGGAAUUUACGGUGUAGCAGUGAAAUGCGUAGAUAUCGUAAGGAAGGCCGGUGGCGAAAGCGAGCCUCUGGACAGUUACUGACGCUGAUGCACGAAGGCCAGGGGAGCAAACGGG